UCUUUAUCAACACCUUUCAGAACAUCCUUCCUAUGUGAAGAUGUACAAAGGAAACAAAUCAAUGUUCAGAGGUUGGAUGAGCUGGAGAGCUGGUAGGAUAGAAAACAAGCAUCCCCAGUGCCUAGAACAGAAAUAUUUGCUGAAGGAUGAAUACCACAGGCCCUGUCUGUGGACUGAGUCAGAAUCAGAACUCAGAAAGAGCCACUCCUGCGGUGUAAAAACUUGAAAAGCAAGAUUUUCUGAAGCCAAGGUGCACGUCCAGGGCCAGAGCUGGGUUGCUGAGUGCCACGUUCAAGUGGGGAACAUUCCAGAAGGUGGAGGGCUCUUUCCAGACAAAGUUGGAAAAGGAUCUUGGAGGAAAAUAAAAUCCAUCCUGGGCUUCACAGUCUCUUCAGCCUUGUGGGAAAUCCUCCUCAGCACCUGCUACUCACCUGUCUUUCACAUCUAGCCCAGCUUCUCCUUACUUCAAAGCCACUGGGUUCCUCUCAUCCAUCUUGCCAUUGACUGGGAGAGUUGAUUUACAUUCAACAACAAAAACUAAUACCUUGAGUUUUGAGGAGGACUUGCCACACAGACCUGUCAGAGGAAGAGAAGCAGAAGUCACGGCUUCUACUCUGAGGCCUGGGACAUCGCAGGCCGCAUCCUGGGAGAGGAACACAGAGGUGCCCGGGCUGUGGAGUCCACCUGCCACUGACCAGCUGGGUGACCAUGGGCAUGUAACCUUAUUUCU
Molecule: long non-coding RNA, 730 nt
Organism: Choloepus didactylus (southern two-toed sloth)
Lineage: Eukaryota; Metazoa; Chordata; Mammalia; Pilosa; Megalonychidae
Exons: 3
Source: RefSeq, a predicted model, not a curated record